RNAcentral lists this long non-coding RNA (559 nucleotides) under Daucus carota (carrot). RNAcentral describes it as "long non-coding RNA (DCAR_LNC005143)". The record is from RNAcentral. Lineage: Eukaryota; Viridiplantae; Streptophyta; Magnoliopsida; Apiales; Apiaceae.
GGGGUGAAGGCCCUAUUUAACUAUAUUUAUAAAAAGGGUGCCCAAAAUAACGACCGAUGGAACUGGUGUCCUAAAUACCUAAUUAAACGCGCAUUUUAAACAUGUGUAUAUGUCAAUUACGCAUCUCUGACAUGCGAGUGUCAGAAGUUUACCUGCAACUACACAACUCAACUGUACUUCGACGUAAUCCAAAAGAUGAUGCCUCUUCCCUUUCACUUCUUCUGUACUUUGAGCUCUGAGAGGCGGAAACCCCAACUUGAAACUUUCAAGACAGCUUCCUCCACAAAUGGUUUUACAUUUCCCUGCCGAACUCUUUUACAUAUAUAUUCCCAACUAUCGGCCGGAUGUGCAAAUACUUCAAACACGCCUACACCAUAUGCGUAUGCUAUUACUACUUUACUUCUGUUUGCACAAGUCGUUUCCAGCAAACCCAUCUACACCAUGUCCUUAUCUCAAUCCCCUUGAUCUGCAAUUUGUCGCCUGUAACUUUCCGCACAUCACUGUGACAAAGCCAACUUCCUCGCCGCGCGUAAACCAGUUCAACGACAUAAGCCAAAAU